Molecule: small nuclear RNA, 107 nt
Filed under: Notamacropus eugenii (tammar wallaby)
Lineage: Eukaryota; Metazoa; Chordata; Mammalia; Diprotodontia; Macropodidae
Source: RNAcentral
GUACUUGGAAUAACAUUACGUACACUAACACUGUAACGGUACAGAGAAGAUCAGCCUUCUCCCAGCCCAAGGAUGGCACCCAAGUCUGGGAAGUGUUCCAUAGUUUU